CAUCGCGAGGUGGAAUCUGAAGAAAGCCGGAUGGCAGGGGGAAACAACGAAUCCUGCAGGGCAAAGUUCCGGGCCGACGAACAGACAUCGCAUAUCAGGCGGGGCAGAGCGGACGAAGCUGCAGCUGAGGCCGAAGUCCCAUACUGCCCGGAUGCUGUCACGUAAAUGAGGAGGCUGCAUGGAAUGAAGGCUG
This 193-nucleotide non-coding RNA is filed under the name bovine gut metagenome. The record is from RNAcentral.